Molecule: ribosomal RNA, 469 nt
Filed under: Alexandrium tamarense
Lineage: Eukaryota; Dinophyceae; Gonyaulacales; Pyrocystaceae
Description: partial Bacterial large subunit ribosomal RNA
Rfam family: Bacterial large subunit ribosomal RNA
Source: RNAcentral
UGACUGCGUACCUUUUGUAUAAUGGGUCAGCGACUUAUUGUCUGUAGCAAGCUUAACCGUUUAGGGGAGGCGUAGGGAAACCGAGUCCGAAUAGGGCGAUUUAGUCGUCAGGCGUAGACCCGAAACCGGAUGAUCUACUCAUGGCCAGGUUGAAGGCAAGGUAACACUUGCUGGAGGACCGAACCCACUAGUGUUGCAAAACUAGGGGAUGAGCUGUGGGUAGGGGUGAAAGGCUAAACAAAUCCGGAAAUAGCUGGUUCUCCCCGAAAACUAUUUAGGUAGUGCCUCGCGUAUUGCUCCAGGGGGUAGAGCACUGUAAUGGUUGGGGGGGUCAUUGCGACUUACCCCGCCAUAGCAAACUCCGAAUACCUGGAAGUAUUAGCGCGGGAGACAGAGCACUGGGUGCUAACGUCCAGACUCAAGAGGGAAACAACCCAGACCGCCAGCUAAGGUCCCAAAUUAUAGCUAA